RNAcentral lists this ribosomal RNA (403 nucleotides) under Actinomycetes bacterium. RNAcentral's name for it is "Actinobacteria bacterium partial 16S ribosomal RNA". It matches the Rfam family "Bacterial small subunit ribosomal RNA", at positions 355 to 776 of the family's 1533-position model. The record is from RNAcentral. Lineage: Bacteria; Bacillati; Actinomycetota; Actinomycetes.
UGGGGAAUAUUGCACAAUGGGGGAAACCCUGAUGCAGCGACGCCGCGUGAACGAAGAAGGUAUUCGUAUCGUAAAGUUCUGUCCUAUGGGAAGAUAAUGACAGUACCAUAGAAGAAAGCUCCGGCUAAAUACGUGCCAGCAGCCGCGGUAAUACGUAUGGAGCGAGCGUUGUCCGGAAUUAUUGGGCGUAAAGGGUACGCAGGCGGUUUAAUAAGUCGAAUGUUAAAGAUCGGGGCUCAACCCCGUAAAGCAUUGGAAACUGAUAAACUUGAGUAGUGGAGAGGAAAGUGGAAUUCCUAGUGUAGUGGUGAAAUACGUAGAUAUUAGGAGGAAUACCAGUAGCGAAGGCGACUUUAUGGACACAAACUGACGCUGAGGUACGAAAGCGUGGGGAGCAAACAGG